GACGAACGCUGGCGGCGUGCCUAAUACAUGCAAGUAGAACGCUGAAGGAGGAGCUUGCUCUUCUGGAUGAGUUGCGAACGGGUGAGUAACGCGUAGGUAACCUGCCUGGUAGCGGGGGAUAACUAUUGGAAACGAUAGCUAAUACCGCAUAAUAGUAGAUGUUGCAUGAUAUUUACUUAAAAGGUGCAAUUGCACCACUACCAGAUGGACCUGCGUUGUAUUAGCUAGUUGGUGGGGUAACGGCUCACCAAGGCGACGAUACAUAGCCGACCUGAGAGGGUGAUCGGCCACACUGGGACUGAGACACGGCCCAGACUCCUACGGGAGGCAGCAGUAGGGAAUCUUCGGCAAUGGACGAAAGUCUGACCGAGCAACGCCGCGUGAGUGAAGAAGGGUUUCGGAUCGUAAAGCUCUGUUGUAAGAGAAGAACGAGUGUGAGAGUGGAAAGUUCACACUGUGACGGUAUCUGACCAGAAAGGGACGGCUAACUACGUG
Molecule: ribosomal RNA, 495 nt
Filed under: uncultured bacterium
Lineage: Bacteria
Description: partial 16S ribosomal RNA
Rfam family: Bacterial small subunit ribosomal RNA
Source: RNAcentral